This 203-nucleotide long non-coding RNA is filed under the name Mytilus galloprovincialis (Mediterranean mussel). Lineage: Eukaryota; Metazoa; Mollusca; Bivalvia; Mytilida; Mytilidae. The record is from RNAcentral.
AAAAAAAUGAAACAAAUCUCCAAUUUUACCAAACUGGCCAUUUAUAUGAAAUGUCCAAUACUUUAUUUAUAUAAAAAAUAUGUAAUCAAUAUAAAGUUGUUAACCCCCAAUGCAUUUUAAUAUUGAACUAUAUAAAAAAAAAACCAACCAAAUCUCGCGGAAUCAUAACCAUUUGUGCACUUACCAAUAGGACGUUACCCUCC